Molecule: ribosomal RNA, 121 nt
Filed under: Hydrogenedentes bacterium JGI 0000039-J10
Lineage: Bacteria; Pseudomonadati; Candidatus Hydrogenedentota
Also listed under: 1 other name
Source: RNAcentral
UUGCCGGUGACUAUAGCGGUAGUGAAACACCCGUUCCCAUUCCGAACACGGAAGUUAAGCCUACCAGCGCCGAUGGUACUGCGGGGCUUCCCCCGUGGGAGAGUAGGUCGUCGCCGGCAUU